UACCAAUGAGGCAACACAGAAAUACUAAAUUCAUCUCAGAAGGCACAAAGGGAGACAUCUUAGGUAUUCUCAAAGAACACCAAACGUUCAUUAGAAAAUUGUCUUAGAACUGCUGGUUUCAUCCCUUAUGAUUGUGGGUAGACCCCAAAAUGACUUUUAAUGACCCUACAUGGUUUACCUGGAUGGCUUAUACUAUGAAAAUUUAUUCUUCCUGCAGUUUAGAGGUGUAGAUGGUAAAUUCGACUUGCUUCUAACCUACAGAAAAUGGCAACGGUAAGAUUUUUUCCUGUGAUACAUCAUGUGAACAAAUUUUUCAGAAGAUCAUCUCUGGAGAUUUUUCUCCCCUGUUGACUGUGCAAUAGUUAAGAAGCAGCAUAUCAAGGAGCUGAGGUAAGCUGGCAUGGCCAGGGCCUUUCUGCAGUAAGCAACAAGAAGCUCUCUAUCUCUCUUAGAUUUACAGCUACAAGAAAUGACUCCUACCGACAACCUGAGUUAAUUUGGAGGCAGAGUCCUCCCCAUUCAAGCUGCCAGAUGAGAAUUCCAGCCCUGCCUAACACCUUGACUGGAGCCCGAAGAACUCAAUUGUGCCUCAUCUCCUGAUCUAUAGAAAG
Long non-coding RNA from Octodon degus (degu), 611 nucleotides. RefSeq lists it as uncharacterized. NCBI's taxonomy places the organism in Eukaryota, Metazoa, Chordata, Mammalia, Rodentia, Octodontidae. The transcript has 3 exons. The record is from RefSeq and is a predicted model, not a curated record.